UGAGGAAUAUUGGUCAAUGGGGGCAACCCUGAACCAGCCAAGUCGCGUGAAGGAUGAAGGUCUUAUGGAUUGUAAACUUCUUUUACACGGGAAUAAAGUGGGGGACGUGUCCCCCUUUGCAUGUACCGUGUGAAUAAGGAUCGGCUAACUCCGUGCCAGCAGCCGCGGUAAUACGGAGGAUCCGAGCGUUAUCCGGAUUUAUUGGGUUUAAAGGGUGCGCAGGCGGGAUGUUAAGUCGGCGGUGAAAUUUUGCAGCUCAACUGUAAAAGUGCCUUCGAUACUGGCCUCCUUGAGUGUGGAUGAAGUAGGCGGAAUUUGUGGUGUAGCGGUGAAAUGCUUAGAUAUCAAGAGGAACUCCGAUUGCGCAGGCAGCUUACUAAGCCACAACUGACGCUUAUGCACGAAGGCGUGGGGAUCAAACA
This 422-nucleotide ribosomal RNA is filed under the name uncultured bacterium. RNAcentral's name for it is "bacterial SSU rRNA". It matches the Rfam family "Bacterial small subunit ribosomal RNA", at positions 355 to 774 of the family's 1533-position model. The record is from RNAcentral.